Molecule: long non-coding RNA, 274 nt
Organism: Salvia splendens (bonfire salvia)
Lineage: Eukaryota; Viridiplantae; Streptophyta; Magnoliopsida; Lamiales; Lamiaceae
Exons: 3
Source: RefSeq, a predicted model, not a curated record
CAUCUCAUUCUUGCAAGAUACGUCUUUUAUAUAUAUGUACCUAUAUACAAAUCUUUUUGUCUCACCCACCUCACAAUCAAACUUUCCAAAAAGAAUUCCACAUAGAACAGAGGAGGGAGAGUUGCAGAUAAUGGUAGAGUCAAGCACUACAAUCCAACAAAACUUUAUUCCACAUCAAAAGGCUAUCUCCUCGAGUAAGGUCGGAGUAAGAAAUUCAAGUUAAAGGAACGAAACGAACAAGGUUGAGCAGCGAAGUGGUGGAGGAAGUGCUAUU